GGAGGGGUGGCAGAGCGGUUGAAUGCACCGGUCUUGAAAACCGGCGUAGGUUAAUAGCCUACCCAGGGUUCGAAUCCCUGCCCCUCCGCCA
RNAcentral lists this transfer RNA (91 nucleotides) under Pseudohongiella acticola. RNAcentral describes it as "tRNA-Ser". It matches the Rfam family "tRNA". Rfam says of the family: Transfer RNA (tRNA) molecules are approximately 80 nucleotides in length. Their secondary structure includes four short double-helical elements and three loops (D, anti-codon, and T loops). Lineage: Bacteria; Pseudomonadati; Pseudomonadota; Gammaproteobacteria; Pseudomonadales; Pseudohongiellaceae. The record is from RNAcentral.